This 364-nucleotide ribosomal RNA is filed under the name Mycobacterium tuberculosis. RNAcentral describes it as "bacterial SSU rRNA". It matches the Rfam family "Bacterial small subunit ribosomal RNA", at positions 444 to 799 of the family's 1533-position model. Lineage: Bacteria; Bacillati; Actinomycetota; Actinomycetes; Mycobacteriales; Mycobacteriaceae. The record is from RNAcentral.
GAAGAACGCCUGGCGGUUAAUACCCGCCAGGUAAGACAUCACCCACGGAAGAAGCACCGGCUAACUCCGUGGCAGCAGCCGCGGUAAUACGGAGGGUGCGAGCGUUAAUCGGAAUUACUGGGCGUAAAGCGCGCGUAGGCGGCGUGAUAAGCCGGUUGUGAAAGCCCCGGGCUCAACCUGGGAAUGGCAUCCGGAACUGUCAGGCUAGAGUGCAGGAGAGGAAGGUAGAAUUCCCGGUGUAGCGGUGAAAUGCGUAGAGAUCGGGAGGAAUACCAGUGGCGAAGGCGGCCUUCUGGACUGACACUGACGCUGAGGUGCGAAAGCGUGGGUAGCAAACAGGAUUAGAAACCCUUGUAGUCUUAAG